ACGGCUCUGGGUCCACCUCCCACCCGUGUUUAUUGUACCUUGUUGCUUCGGUGCGCCCGCCUCACGGCCGCCGGGGGGCUUCUGCCCCCGGGUCCGCGCGCACCGGAGACACUAUUGAACUCUGUCUGAAGAUUGCAGUCUGAGCAUAAACUAAAUAAGUUAAAACUUUCAACAACGGAUCUCUUGGUUCCGGCAUCGAUGAAGAACGCAGCGAAAUGCGAUAACUAAUGUGAAUUGCAGAAUUCAGUGAAUCAUCGAGUCUUUGAACGCACAUUGCGCCCCCUGGUAUUCCGGGGGGCAUGCCUGUCCGAGCGUCAUUGCUGCCCUCAAGCACGGCUUGUGUGUUGGGCUCCGUCCCCCCGGGGACGGGUCCGAAAGGCAGGGCGGCACCGAGUCCGGUCCUCGAGCGUAUGGGGCUUUGUCACCCGCUCUGUAGGCCCGGCCGGCGCCAGCCGACAACCAAUCAUCCUUUUUUCAGGUUGACCUCGGAUCAGGUAGGGAUACCCGCUGAACUUAAGCAUAUCAAUAAGCGAGGAAA
RNAcentral lists this ribosomal RNA (538 nucleotides) under Penicillium glabrum. RNAcentral describes it as "eukaryotic LSU rRNA". The stretch from base 164 to 317 matches the Rfam family "5.8S ribosomal RNA". The record is from RNAcentral. Lineage: Eukaryota; Fungi; Ascomycota; Eurotiomycetes; Eurotiales; Aspergillaceae.